RNAcentral lists this ribosomal RNA (428 nucleotides) under uncultured bacterium. RNAcentral's name for it is "bacterial SSU rRNA". It matches the Rfam family "Bacterial small subunit ribosomal RNA", at positions 30 to 504 of the family's 1533-position model. The record is from RNAcentral.
CGAACGCUGGCGGCAGGCCUAACACAUGCAAUUCGAGCGCCAGCUUCGGAGGGAGCGGCGGACGGGUGAGUAACGCGUGGGAACGUACCCUUUUCUACGGAAUAGCCUCGGGAAACUGAGAGUAAUACCGUAUACGCCCUUCGGGGGAAAGAUUUAUCGGAGAAGGAUCGGCCCGCGUUGGAUUAGGUAGUUGGUGGGGUAAUGGCCUACCAAGCCGACGAUCCAUAGCUGGUUUGAGAGGAUGAUCAGCCACACUGGGACUGAGACACGGCCCAGACUCCUACGGGAGGCAGCAGUGGGUAAUCUUAGACAAUGGGGGCAACCCUGAUCUAGCCAUGCCGCGUGAGUGACGAAGGCUUUAGGGUCGUAAAGCUCUUUCGCCAGGGAUGAUAAUUACAGUACCGGGUAAAGAAGGCCCGGCUAACUGC